RNAcentral lists this ribosomal RNA (253 nucleotides) under uncultured bacterium. Its description in RNAcentral is "partial 16S ribosomal RNA". It matches the Rfam family "Bacterial small subunit ribosomal RNA", at positions 524 to 776 of the family's 1533-position model. The record is from RNAcentral.
UACGGAGGGGGCUAGCGUUGUUCGGAAUUACUGGGCGUAAAGCGCACGUAGGCGGCUUUGUAAGUUAGAGGUGAAAGCCCAGGGCUCAACCCUGGAAUUGCCUUUAAGACUGCAUCGCUAGAAUUGUGGAGAGGUAAGUGGAAUUCCGAGUGUAGAGGUGAAAUUCGUAGAUAUUCGCAAGAACACCAGUGGCGAAGGCGGCUCACUGGCCCGGAACUGACGCUGAGACGCGAAAGCGUGGGGAGCAAACAGG